RNAcentral lists this ribosomal RNA (417 nucleotides) under uncultured bacterium. RNAcentral describes it as "bacterial SSU rRNA". It matches the Rfam family "Bacterial small subunit ribosomal RNA", at positions 58 to 521 of the family's 1533-position model. The record is from RNAcentral.
CAAGUCGAACGAAGGCUUCGGCCUUAGUGGCGCACGGGUGAGUAACACGUGGGAACCUGCCUCUUUGUUCGGAAUAACAUCGGGAAACUGGUGCUAAUACCGGAUACGCCCUACGGGGGAAAGAUUUAUCGCAGAGAGAGGGGCCCGCGUCCGAUUAGGUAGUUGGUGGGGUAACGGCCUACCAAGCCGACGAUCGGUAGCUGGUCUGAGAGGAUGAUCAGCCACACUGGGACUGAGACACGGCCCAGACUCCUACGGGAGGCAGCAGUGGGGAAUAUUGGACAAUGGGCGCAAGCCUGAUCCAGCAAUGCCGCGUGAAUGAUGAAGGCCUUAGGGUUGUAAAGUUCUUUCGUCGGGGACGAUGAUGACGGUACCCGAAGAAGAAGCCCCGGCUAACUUCGUGCCAGCAGCCGCGGU